Non-coding RNA from Macaca mulatta (Rhesus monkey), 839 nucleotides. Lineage: Eukaryota; Metazoa; Chordata; Mammalia; Primates; Cercopithecidae. The record is from RefSeq and is a predicted model, not a curated record.
GUCUAAAUGAGCCACAGCCCUCCGUUGGAUAGAAUAUCAGAUGCCCUGAUCAUAUUUACCAGUGGGUCAGAUUCCUCUAAGAUGUAACAGCUGUGUAAAGGAACACAGACUACAACCUUUGCCAGAAAGACUGUCGCCAGUCAUCUGACGAUCAGAUCUGGAGGUGUGAGACAGAAGACAAGUGUGAGGACAACCGGGAACAUGAGAAGUAAGCUACUCAAGUAAGAAGAUACCGGUCCUUGUCCCCUAACACACACAGAAGGUCACUAAAGGCAUUCUGGUACAAACAGAGCAAAGGGAUCAAUGGUUCAUGGACCCUGCUGUUUCCCAGGGAAUCACUGAAACCCAAGGAUCUGGAUUAGAAAACACAUACAGCAUUCUUAAAAGUUAAAAGAAGACGAGUAGCUAUUUGUUUAUAGACUAACUCAUCGAUCUAGAGAUUGAUCUCUGCCAAAUUCUCUGUAAUUCUGUUACCGUGUUAUUUAUGAAGAGCUGUGGCAUCGUGUUUCAGAAAUUACCAACCAGUCAGCACUGAUGGGAAUUUGAGUCAUCAGUUAUCUUCUUCAUGUCUAUAAAUAUAAUCAAAUUGUUCUCAUUCUUGAAAAACAAACCAAACAAACAAACCGAAGAAACAAACAAAAACCAAAAACUCCCAUAGUUCCUGGAAGGCUGAUAAUAUUCUAUUUCUUAAUUGAGAUGGUAGUUAUAGAUCUGUUUAAUUUACAUUAAUUCUUUAAGGUAUUUAUAGUUUUAUACACUUUUCUGCAUAUGUGUUAGUGUUUUAAAAUUAAAGAAUAUGCUGGAGGCAUCACAUUACAAGACUUCAAACUAUACUACAA